AACGAACGCUGGCGGCGUGCCUAACACAUGCAAGUCGUGCGAGAAAGUUCCUUCGGGAGCGAGUAAAGCGGCGCACGGGUGAGUAACACGUAGGUAACCUGCCCCCCAGUCUGGAACAACUAGAGGAAACUCUAGCUAAUGCCGGAUGAGACCACGAUCCCUUCGGGGGUUGCGGCCAAAGACGGCCUCUACUUGUAAGCUAUCGCUGAGGGAUGGGCCUGCGGGCCAUUAGCUUGUUGGUGAGGUAACGGCUCACCAAGGCUGUGAUGGCUAGCUGGUCUGAGAGGAUGACCAGCCACACUGGGACUGAGACACGGCCCAGACUCCUACGGGAGCAGCAGUGGGAAUAUUGCGCAAUGGGCGAAAGCCUGACGCAGCGACGCCGCGUGGGUGAUGAAGGCC
RNAcentral lists this ribosomal RNA (402 nucleotides) under uncultured bacterium. RNAcentral's name for it is "bacterial SSU rRNA". It matches the Rfam family "Bacterial small subunit ribosomal RNA", at positions 29 to 416 of the family's 1533-position model. The record is from RNAcentral.